RNAcentral lists this long non-coding RNA (376 nucleotides) under Nicotiana benthamiana. RNAcentral describes it as "long non-coding RNA (NBEN_LNC024048)". The record is from RNAcentral. Lineage: Eukaryota; Viridiplantae; Streptophyta; Magnoliopsida; Solanales; Solanaceae.
UAGUCUGCACCCCUACAGUGAGCGCGAGUACCCAUUAUGCUGAGUUGUUAUGCUGAGCCCGAGGGGAUGAUGUGAGUGUUUCUGAGAGUGAGCCCAAGGGGCUUGUCACACCUCCAUUUUCACUACACCCGCAAGGGCGUACAGGAGUUUUUCCAAUUGAAGGACAAUCUGUAUGUGAUUUGUUUAUUAUUUAUUCAGAGUCGCCACUUGGCAGAUUAAUGGUGUCCCAAGUCACCGAUUUAAUCCCAAACCGAGGAAAAAGAUGACUUUGUUCACAGUCUGCGAACAAGAAAUCCGGAUAAGGAAUUCUUUUAACUCCGGAGAAGGCGUUAGGUAUUCCUGGGUUCCGUCGUUCUUGCACGGUCGCUCAACUAUU